Molecule: ribosomal RNA, 501 nt
Filed under: uncultured bacterium
Lineage: Bacteria
Description: partial 16S ribosomal RNA
Rfam family: Bacterial small subunit ribosomal RNA
Source: RNAcentral
AUUGAACGCUGGCGGCAGGCUUAACACAUGCAAGUCGAGCGGAGAUGAGGUGCUUGCACCUUAUCUUAGCGGCGGACGGGUGAGCAAUGCUUAGGAAUCUGCCUAUUAGUGGGGGACAACAUUCCGAAAGGAAUGCUAAUACCGCAUACGUCCUACGGGAGAAAGCAGGGGAUCUUCGGACAUUGCGCUAAUAGAUGAGCCUAAGUCGGCUUAGCUAGUUGGUGGGGUAAAGGCCUACCAAGGCGACGAUCUGUAGCGGGUCUGAGAGGAUGAACCGCCACACUGGGACUGAGACACGGCCCAGACUCCUACGGGAGGCAGCAGUGGGGAAUAUUGGACAAUGGGGGAAACCCUGAUCCAGCCAUGCCGCGUGUGUGAAGAAGGCCUUAUGGUUGUAAAGCACUUUAAGCGAGGAGGAGGCUACUGAGACUAAUACUCUUGGAUAGUGGACGUUACUCGCAGAAUAAGCACCGGCUAACUCUGUGCCAGCCGCCGCCGUAA